AGAGAUUGAAUCUGACGAGUUCGGUGAUUUUAACAGGAGAAGAGGUCGGAGCUCAGCUGAGUCAUUUUCUAGGAGUUCGAGGAAGAAUGGGCCUAACUCGGUUGCCAGAACGCGAUAUGAGAGUGAAUCAGGUAUAGAGGAUGAUGACGACGACGAUGAAAUGCAUUCUCGAAAGCAAAUUCGCAGUUUUAGAGGUGGGAAUUCGACAUUGUCGAAGAGAGGUGGGAGAGAUUCGGAUUUGGGUUAUAGGAGAGAUUUUGAUUCGGGGUAUAGGGGUGACCGAGGAGGUUUUGGGGGUUUGAGGAGAGGUGAAAAUGAAAGAGGUGGUGGGGGUUUGAGGAGAGGUGAAAAUGAAAGAGGUGGUGGGGGUUUAAGGAGAGGUGCAAAUGGAAGAGGUGGUGGGGGUUUAAGGAGAGGUGAAAAUGGAAGAGGUGGUGGGGGUUUAAGGAGAGGUGAAAAUGGAAGAGGUGGUGGGGGUUUAAGGAGAGGUGACAGAGGGCCCCAAAAACAAGCACAUUUGGUCUCGGAAGGUGAGGAUGAGGAUGAGGAUGAGGAAUUGAAGGGUAGUUUUAAAGGUUUGCUGAGUGAGGAAGAUAGUGAAGAAGAAGAAGAAGAGGAUGAUGAUGAUGACGACCAUGAUGAAGUUUUGAAGAAGAAUGCAAGUUCUUUGUUUGGGGCAGCUGCCAAGGAAGCGGUACCUAGGAGUUCGACUGGAAAA
This 718-nucleotide long non-coding RNA is filed under the name Vitis vinifera (wine grape). RNAcentral's name for it is "long non-coding RNA (VVIN_LNC005222)". Lineage: Eukaryota; Viridiplantae; Streptophyta; Magnoliopsida; Vitales; Vitaceae. The record is from RNAcentral.